This 305-nucleotide ribosomal RNA is filed under the name uncultured bacterium. RNAcentral's name for it is "bacterial SSU rRNA". It matches the Rfam family "Bacterial small subunit ribosomal RNA", at positions 332 to 657 of the family's 1533-position model. The record is from RNAcentral.
CAGCCUACGGGAGGCAGCAGUGGGGAAUAUUGCACAAUGGGGGGAACCCUGAUGCAGCGACGCCGCGUGAGCGAUGAAGUAUUUCGGUAUGUAAAGCUCUAUCAGCAGGGAAGAAAAUGACGGUACCUGACUAAGAAGCCCCGGCUAACUACGUGCCAGCGGCCGCGGUAAUACGUAGGGGGCAAGCGUUAUCCGGAUUUACUGGGUGUAAAGGGAGCGUAGACGGCUGUGCAAGUCUGGAGUGAAAGGCAUGGGCUCAACCUGUGGACUGCUUUGGAAACUGUGCGGCUUGAGUGUCGUAGAGG